GUGCCUUGGCAGUCUAAGUUGAUCCUGGCGUAGGAUAGAACGCUAGCUACGAGGACUUAACACAUGACAAGUCGGAGGGCAGCAGUGGGUAGCAAUACUUCAGAUGGCGACCGGCGCACGGGUGAGUAACACGUAUCCAACCUGCCGCUUACUCGGGGAUAGCCUUUCGAAAGAAAGAUUAAUACCCGAUGGUAUAAAGAGUUCGCAUGUUCUCUUUAUUAAAGAAUUUCGGUAAGCGAUGGGGAUGCGUUCCAUUAGAUAGUUGGCGGGGUAACGGCCCACCAAGUCUACGAUGGAUAGGGGUUCUGAGAGGAAGGUCCCCCACAUUGGAACUGAGACACGGUCCAAACUCCUACGGGAGGCAGCAGUGAGGAAUAUUGGUCAAUGGACGAGAGUCUGAACCAGCCAAAGUAGCGUGAAGGAUGACUGCCCUAUGGGUUGUAAACUUCUUUUAUAAGGGAAUAAAGUGAGGGACGUGUCCCUUUUGUAUGUACCUUAUGAAUAAGGAUCGGCUAACUCCGUGCCAGCCGCGGC
Molecule: ribosomal RNA, 534 nt
Filed under: uncultured bacterium
Lineage: Bacteria
Description: bacterial SSU rRNA
Rfam family: Bacterial small subunit ribosomal RNA
Source: RNAcentral